UGAGUUUUUGAAACGUGACGUCAAAGUCUUUCUGUUUUGCAUACAAAGUAAGAUGUAAAAGCAUUUCCGGUUCCCCUUUUUACUUAAAACCCGGCUCGGUACUGCAUCAACAUAGUAUUUGAAUUGACCAGGUCCUGUAUUUGGGCGAUUUCAAAAUUGAUGUAAUAAAGUGGUAAUUGAACCUCGAGUCGUGCAAUUUUGGUCUAAAAUCAAGUUUGUGAUUUCAAAUCAAACUCGCGCUGUGGGCUCGUUCGAUUUAGAAAUCACGCGUAUGAUUUCAGCCCAAAUUGCACUCCACUCAGUUCAAUUACCAUUUUAAAUUUGUAAUUGUCAGAGAUGUUAUCAAAAUUAAUGUAGACACCUUGAUUAUUAAACCAUUUCUCGUAAGUCAUUUUUAUACCUACAAAGCAAACGAAACAACAUGCUAGCAAAAUCUUCUUACUGUUUGUUCUCUUUUUUUACAUGCUAAUGUAAGAAGUUCAGUCUAAUGGGGACCAAGGCGUGGAGAUGGAAGCGGGUUAUUCCUCAGCCGACCACCAGUAUGCAGCUGCGGGUCCUAAUGCCAGCUAUCGAGCCUCCAAGCCGUCGUCUUUGCCUCCAGUGACUUACGAAGUUGCUAAUAGGAGGUCUGAGGGAAGAAGAGGGAAUGGAGCAAGUGAACCGAAAGAGCCACUCCCACAAUAUGCAGUGGUCGAUAAGACAAAGAAGAAAAAAAGGACACCAAAACCCGGUGAGCUUCAGUAUGCUGAGCUUGGUGAACUGACAGGUCCUCGACAGAAGGCAGUACUGCCACGUGUUAGUGGUACAGAUACUGUGUAUUCAGACAUCAGGGCGUAGAGGAUGUGUGCCGUUACGUAAAUGGAUCAUCAGUAAUCAAGUGGAUGAGACAAACGUGGAAACAGUAAUUGAUUUUGUAGCUUUGUCAACAUCAUAUUACGAUAUAUAUUGUAUUGUUUUGUAAAGUGCCUGUUGCUACAACUGCAAUCAAAACCGCUGAAAUAUUCCGCUGUAAGGAAAAACAUGAUGCAUAAUUCUAAGUUUGUUCGUUGAAAAAUUGUGAGAGGAUUGUAAUCUUGUAACAUGUUAUCGCCGGUCGGAUGUUCCACCAUUAAGCAUCAAAAAACGGCGUGGUUCAUAUCACAUUAUUCAGUCACUAGUUUCGUCACUAUUCGAACGUUAGUAUCUUCAAUGUAGCAGCAUACGAAAAAGAAAAACUAGAUGGUAAGUACUUUUCCUUAAAAGAGAGAUGCAAAGGCCCGAUAGCAAUUUAUAAUAUUUAUUACAAGCUUUUCGAAUAUAAUAUUGAACAACUUUGAUUCUUCGGGAAUUUUUACCAUGUUAGUGCUUUGGAGAUCAAGAAGCACAGGAAUACAAGGCAAUUUAAGAAAAUAUACAACAUUUUUUGAAAACAUGUUUCCACAGUUCUUCUGUCACACAAAGUACAAAGUUGAAUUUAAUGUCUUUAAAAAAAUGUUCAUGAGACAAAGCAACACUAAGUAAUGUGAGCUAUUACAAGGAAAGUAAAAUUUAUUAUGAGAAAGUUAAUGAUUAAGUAUUGGUUGCCCCCCUCGAAUGUGAAUAGCUUCUUUUCUUUUAAGUUUGAGAGCCGUGAAAGCGUGAUCUAAGAUGCAAAAACAUUCAUCAGAACAUAGAGGACGACAUUGUUGAGGAUUUUGUAGAUGUCUGAAAAUGUGAGAGGUCUUAUCACUAACCAAGUGCUCGUGCACACAUGAGGAUAAGUGACGAGAGGUUUCGCCAAAAUAGUAAGCAUUACAGCCCGCACAUAAAAGCUCGUAAACCACACACGUACGGAGCUUUCAUUCAAAGGGAGCAAUCACACUUAAUCAUCAACUUAAUAAUGUUCAUUUAAACUUUCCAUUUAGUUGCAUGUUUUGUUUUGUUUCUAAUGUCGUUUUGUCCCCUGAGCACUUUAAAUUCAUCUUUUUACUUUGUAUAAAUUUGAGCUGAAGAUAACAGAAUAGCUGUGGAAACAUGUUUUCAAAAAUGUUGUAUAUUUCUUUAGCUCGUGACAUAUCCUGCUAUUCAGACCUUUUAGUAGCACAAGAGAACCACAUACUGAGCAGUGUCACUCGUAACUUUGCAAUCUUCUAUAUGGUUUCCUUUUGACUUCAUAACAUCACUGUAGCUUUUUUCCCUGGUGUUCACGGUUUUCUAAGCUCGCCAGUUAAUAAUUUUUGCAUUAUUUACAGGAGUGGGUGUAGUUCAGCAGUUUUUAAUGUACAGCUGGUUUAACUUGAUUAGCGAGCUUUCAAUUUCCCCUUAGUUCUUCAGCAUGUAAUUUUCAGCGGAAUCGUAAUAAUCGCAACAUGGUGCCACUUAGUGGUCAAGGAAUUGAUUUUCUCUUUGUUUUCAACUUCCCACUAUUUAUCAAAUAAAUUGCUGGGUGAGUACCUAAAUUUUCACGCCAGUCAAUUUUAUAAAAUAAUGCAGUCGAUUAA
RNAcentral lists this long non-coding RNA (2459 nucleotides) under Stylophora pistillata. RNAcentral describes it as "uncharacterized LOC111344863". The record is from RNAcentral. Lineage: Eukaryota; Metazoa; Cnidaria; Anthozoa; Scleractinia; Pocilloporidae.